Molecule: ribosomal RNA, 510 nt
Filed under: uncultured bacterium
Lineage: Bacteria
Description: bacterial SSU rRNA
Rfam family: Bacterial small subunit ribosomal RNA
Source: RNAcentral
GGCUUAGGAUAAACGCUGGCGGCGUGCUUAACACAUGCAAGUCGAACGGAGUACUUCUCCCGAGACCGAGGAAGCUUGCUUCCAAAGAAUCAUUGAAGUACUUAGUGGCGGACGGGUGAGUAACGCGUGGGUAACCUGCCUCACACAGGGGGAUAACAGUUGGAAACGACUGUUAAUACCGCAUAAGCGCACAGUAUCGCAUGAUACAGUGUGAAAAACUCCGGUGGUGUGAGAUGGACCCGCGUCUGAUUAGCUAGUUGGUGAGGUAGCGGCCCACCAAGGCGACGAUCAGUAGCCGGCCUGAGAGGGUGUACGGCCACAUUGGGACUGAGACACGGCCCAAACUCCUACGGGAGGCAGCAGUGGGGAAUAUUGCACAAUGGGGGAAACCCUGAUGCAGCGAACGCCGCGUGAGUGAUGAAGUAUCUCGGUAUGUAAAGCUCUAUCAGCAGGGAAGAUAAUGACGGUACCUGACUAAGAAGCACCGGCUAAAUACGUGCCAGCCGCGGC